This is a long non-coding RNA of Etheostoma spectabile (orangethroat darter), 110 nucleotides long. RefSeq lists it as uncharacterized. The record is from RefSeq and is a predicted model, not a curated record. NCBI's taxonomy places the organism in Eukaryota, Metazoa, Chordata, Actinopteri, Perciformes, Percidae. The transcript has 3 exons.
UAUAGAUCUUAGAGCUAGCCGGUUCCUGGAUAGACGUGCAGUGCCAUGAAGCAAUUUGUUACAUCGUGAGACCUGAUAUCACGCGAUACUGCCUGAUGCCGAGUCUGGCG